This 253-nucleotide ribosomal RNA is filed under the name uncultured bacterium. RNAcentral's name for it is "partial 16S ribosomal RNA". It matches the Rfam family "Bacterial small subunit ribosomal RNA", at positions 524 to 776 of the family's 1533-position model. The record is from RNAcentral.
UACAGAGGGUGCAAGCGUUAAUCGGAAUUACUGGGCGUAAAGUGUGCGCAGGCGGCAGAGCAAGUCGAGUGUGAAAGCCCCGAGCUUAACUUGGGAAUUGCGCUCGAAACUACUUUGCUGGAGUGUGGCAGAGGAAGGUGGAAUUCCAGGUGUAGCGGUGAAAUGCGUAGAGAUCUGGAGGAACACCGAUGGCGAAGGCAGCCUCCUGGGCCAACACUGACGCUCAUGCACGAAAGCGUGGGGAGCAAACAGG